RNAcentral lists this ribosomal RNA (454 nucleotides) under uncultured bacterium. RNAcentral describes it as "bacterial SSU rRNA". It matches the Rfam family "Bacterial small subunit ribosomal RNA", at positions 337 to 791 of the family's 1533-position model. The record is from RNAcentral.
UCCUACGGGGGGCAGCAAUCAGGAAUAUUGCGCAAUGGGGGAAACCCUGACGCAGCGACGCCGCGUGCGGGAGGAAGGCCUUCGGGUCGUAAACCGCUGUUGUGGGAGACGAAGGAGCCUGAAGAAGGCGCGAGACGGUAUCCCACGAGGAAGCCCCGGCUAACUACGUGCCAGCAGCCGCGGUAAUACGUAGGGGGCGAGCGUUGUCCGAAGUUACUGGGCGUAAAGCGCGCGUAGGCGGCUCUUUAAGUGGCCGGUGAAAUCCCCGGGCUCAACCCGGGGUGGUCUGGUCAUACUGGGGAGCUGGAGUGUGGGAGAGGAGAGUGGAACUCCUGGUGUAGCGGUGAUAUGCGUAGAGAUCAGGAAGAACACCCGUGGCGAAGGCGGCUCUCUGGACCACAACUGACGCUGAGGCGCGAAAGCCAGGGGAGCGAACGGGAUUAGAUACCCCGGU